UACGAGGGGGACUAGCGUUGUUCGGAAUUACUGGGCGUAAAGCGCGCGUAGGCGGAUCGCUAAGUCAGGGGUGAAAUCCCAGGGCUCAACCCUGGAACUGCCUUUGAUACUGACGAUCUGGAGAUCGGGAGAGGUGAGUGGAAUUCCGAGUGUAGAGGUGAAAUUCGUAGAUAUCGGGAGGAACACCGGUGGCGAAGGCGGCGACCUGGGUAGAUACUGACGCUGAGGUGCGAAAGCGUGGGGAGCGAACAGG
RNAcentral lists this ribosomal RNA (253 nucleotides) under uncultured bacterium. RNAcentral describes it as "partial 16S ribosomal RNA". It matches the Rfam family "Bacterial small subunit ribosomal RNA", at positions 524 to 776 of the family's 1533-position model. The record is from RNAcentral.